Zalophus californianus (California sea lion) is the source of this 107-nucleotide small nuclear RNA. NCBI's taxonomy places the organism in Eukaryota, Metazoa, Chordata, Mammalia, Carnivora, Otariidae. The record is from Ensembl.
GUGCUCACUUCAGCAGCACAUAUCCUAAAAUUGGAAUGAUACAGAGAAGAUUAGCAUGACCCCUGUGCGAGGCCGACAAGCACAUUCGUGAAAAACCCCAAUUUAAA